RNAcentral lists this long non-coding RNA (336 nucleotides) under Olea europaea (common olive). RNAcentral describes it as "long non-coding RNA (OEUR_LNC003633)". The record is from RNAcentral. Lineage: Eukaryota; Viridiplantae; Streptophyta; Magnoliopsida; Lamiales; Oleaceae.
UUGCAGCCGCCGACUUUGUAUGCGAAUGUAUUAUCCUCCAAGCUGCUACUUUUUGUGGGAAUCAUAUAAAUCCAUGCAGCCGCCAACCUCUCUCCAAAAGAUGCCAAAUUCUGCUUUCAGUUUGUAUUUGUAUAAUCCCCAAUUCUUGCCCUCCAAGCUGCUGUUUUCUGUUGGGAUAUAUAUAAAUAUAACUUCUUGCAGUCCACCAUAUAUAACCCCAGCAGCUGCCGACUUUAUCAAUUCAGCCGUCCAUUGUCUCUUUAAUUCCAAUUCGACCCCAAGCUGCAGCCGACUUUCUGCCGUGGAAUAUACUCAAUUCAGCCCCAGCAAUUCUCU